AGAGUUUGAUCCUGGCUCAGGAUGAACGCUAGCGGCAGGCUUAACACAUGCAAGUCGAGGGGCAGCAUAAUGGAUAGCAAUAUCUAUGGUGGCGACCGGCGCACGGGUGCGUAACGCGUAUGCAACCUACCUUUAACAGGGGGAUAACACUGAGAAAUUGGUACUAAUACCCCAUAAUAUCAUAGAAGGCAUCUUUUAUGGUUGAAAAUUCCGAUGGUUAGAGAUGGGGCAUGCGUUGUAUUAGCUAGUUGGUGGGGUAACGGCUCACCAAGGCGACGAUACAUUAGGGGGGACUGAGAGGUUAACCCCCCACACUGGUACUGAGACACGGACCAGACUCCUACGGGAGGCA
Molecule: ribosomal RNA, 352 nt
Filed under: uncultured bacterium
Lineage: Bacteria
Description: bacterial SSU rRNA
Rfam family: Bacterial small subunit ribosomal RNA
Source: RNAcentral